GGUAUUAUCUUCACUUUACAGAUGAGGACACCUGAGGUUCAGAUUAAGAAAUCUGCCCCAAAGUCUUAGAACUGUGAUUCUACCAGAAAGGAAUGAAGAACAGAACCUUCAGGAAUUGAGUCACAAUGCAGACAAAUAUCAAAUGGGAGAUUGUUGCAAGGAAGAGAUUGAUGAUAGUAUUUUCUACUAGCCAUUGGGAAGAUAAAAGGAGACAGAAGAUUGAAGCCUUUGCCAGCCAUUCUUUCCCUUUUUGCUUCCAAACUCCUCAACUGGGAACCUUCAUAUGUGCAGUAUUUAUAUUGGAUCAUACUGGUGAUUAUAAAAGUUCCUAGGAGGCUAGAAGAGCCAACCAACAGAGAAGGGAAAGCAGUCUGUUCUGAACAUAGGGACAUAAGUUCAUUCAUGCCAAGUAUCUUUCCAGCAUGUUUCUCCCAUUUAGAAUAUCUAGCAUGUAAGGCCUUUCAAUAUUAAUAUAAGCCCAAUAUCAGCUCUUUCUCUUUGUAUUUCAUCUCUUUCUACUCUCCUAUUUGUAUUUUGUGUUCCUAUCAAAGUGUCGUAUCUGGGAGAUGACCUGCCUUAUCCUGUUCUAUAACAGUUUUGUUUGCUGCUGUGUCUUUAGAACAGUGCCUGGCACACAGUAAGCACUCAAUAAAUCUUUGAUGAAUGAA
RNAcentral lists this long non-coding RNA (668 nucleotides) under Homo sapiens (human). Its description in RNAcentral is "HSALNT0373378". The stretch from base 204 to 545 matches the Rfam family "Deleted in lymphocytic leukemia 1 conserved region 2". Lineage: Eukaryota; Metazoa; Chordata; Mammalia; Primates; Hominidae. The record is from RNAcentral.